CUCUCAUCCGAAGUAAGACGAGGUAUCUCGUAUCCAAAGUAAGACGAGGUAUCUCGCAUCCGAAAAAGAAGGGUACGUCGUAAAAUACAUAGUGAAAUGAAAAAAAAAAGAGAAAAACCAAACUCGAGAGAGUAGUUCGCCACGACUAGUUACUCCGCACUCCUCAUGACGAACUGGGGGGAGUAGAUGAUCUGGACUAAUUUGCACUGGGCCCAAAUUAUAUAUGAACCCGAAGCCCAUAUAUAAAAGCCCAUCAAUCAGCCCCUAUUCUCUCUCUCAAGCCCGUCAAUCCACCGGCCCAUUAACUUCCUGGCCCAUCUCUCUCCUUAUCUCCAUGGCACGCACUUCAAGGCA
This is a non-coding RNA of Erythranthe guttata (spotted monkey flower), 354 nucleotides long. The record is from RefSeq and is a predicted model, not a curated record. NCBI's taxonomy places the organism in Eukaryota, Viridiplantae, Streptophyta, Magnoliopsida, Lamiales, Phrymaceae.